AAAUUCCGGGGCUUAACUCCGGGCGUGCAGGCGAUACGGGCAUAACUUGAGUGCUGUAGGGGAGACUGGAAUUCCUGGUGUAGCGGUGAAAUGCGCAGAUAUCAGGAGGAACACCGAUGGCGAAGGCAGGUCUCUGGGCAGUUACUGACGCUGAGGAGCGAAAGCAUGGGUAGCGAACAGGAUUAGAUACCCUGGUAGUCCAUGCCGUAAACGGUGGGCGCUAGGUGUAGGGGGCUUCCACGUCUUCUGUGCCGUAGCUAACGCAUUAAGCGCCCCGCCUGGGGAGUACGGCCGCAAGGCUAAAACUCAAAGGAAUUGACGGGGGCCCGCACAAGCGGCGGAGCAUGUGGAUUAAUUCGAUGCAACGCGAAGAACCUUACCUGGGCUUGACAUACACCAGAUCGCUGCAGAGAUGUAGUUUCCCUUGUGGUUGGUGUACAGGUGGUGCAUGGUUGUCGUCAGCUCGUGUCGUGAGAUGUUGGGUUAAGUCCCGCAACGAGCGCAACCCUUGUCUUAUGUUGCCAGCAUUUUAGUUGGGGACUCAUGAGAGACUGCCGGGGUUAACUCGGAGGAAGGUGGGGAUGACGUCAAAUCAUCAUGCCCCUUAUGUCCAGGGCUUCACACAUGCUACAAUGGUCGGUACAACGCGCAGCGACACUGUGAGGUGGAGCGAAUCGCUGAAAGCCGGUCUUAGUUCGGAUUGGGG
This 706-nucleotide ribosomal RNA is filed under the name uncultured bacterium. Its description in RNAcentral is "bacterial SSU rRNA". It matches the Rfam family "Bacterial small subunit ribosomal RNA", at positions 597 to 1303 of the family's 1533-position model. The record is from RNAcentral.